This 717-nucleotide ribosomal RNA is filed under the name uncultured Bacteroidales bacterium. RNAcentral's name for it is "bacterial SSU rRNA". It matches the Rfam family "Bacterial small subunit ribosomal RNA", at positions 36 to 745 of the family's 1533-position model. The record is from RNAcentral. Lineage: Bacteria; Pseudomonadati; Bacteroidota; Bacteroidia; Bacteroidales.
CUAGCGACAGGCUUAACACAUGCAAGUCGAGGGGCAGCACGAUGUAGCAAUACAUUGGUGGCGACCGGCGCACGGGUGAGUAACGCGUAUGCAACCUACCUAUCAGAGGGGAAUAACCCGGCGAAAGUCGGACUAAUACCGCAUAAAACAGGGGUUCCACAUGGAAAUAUUUGUUAAAGAAUUAUCGCUGAUAGAUGGGCAUGCGUUCCAUUAGAUAGUUGGUGAGGUAACGGCUCACCAAGUCCACGAUGGAUAGGGGUUCUGAGAGGAAGGUCCCCCACACUGGUACUGAGACACGGACCAGACUCCUACGGGAGGCAGCAGUGAGGAAUAUUGGUCAAUGGGCGAGAGCCUGAACCAGCCAAGUCGCGUGAAGGAUGAAGGAUCUAUGGUUUGUAAACUUCUUUUAUAUGGGAAUAAAGUGAGGAACGUGUUCCUUUUUGUAUGUACCAUAUGAAUAAGCAUCGGCUAACUCCGUGCCAGCAGCCGCGGUAAUACGGAGGAUGCGAGCGUUAUCCGGAUUUAUUGGGUUUAAAGGGUGCGUAGGUGGUUAAUUAAGUCAGCGGUGAAAGUUUGUGGCUCAACCAUAAAAUUGCCGUUGAAACUGGUUGACUUGAGUAUAUUUGAGGUAGGCGGAAUGCGUGGUGUAGCGGUGAAAUGCAUAGAUAUCACGCAGAACUCCGAUUGCGAAGGCAGCUUACUAAACUAUAACUGACA